Molecule: long non-coding RNA, 671 nt
Filed under: Medicago truncatula (barrel medic)
Lineage: Eukaryota; Viridiplantae; Streptophyta; Magnoliopsida; Fabales; Fabaceae
Description: long non-coding RNA (MTRU_LNC003147)
Source: RNAcentral
AAACACCAUCCAACUCGAUCAUUCAAGUUUAUCUUGUAAUUCAUCAGCCAAAUCGUCCACUUCAAAUUCAUCACCGAUGUCAUUCUCUUGAAUUUCAUCAUCUAGGUCAUCCUCUUGAAAUUCAUCAUCUAUAUCAUCCUCCUCAAAUUCAUCAUCUAUAUCAUCCUCCUGAAAUUCAUCACUUAAGUUGUCCUCAAGAAAUUCGUCCUCAAGAAAUUCAUCAUCUACGUCUUCCUCCUCAUCUAUGUCAUCCUGUACAGCAUCUUCAUUGAUAACUUGCUGCAUAAGAACAAAAUACAUCAACCAUAGAAAACUUGUUUUACUAUUUUCCCUUCCUUAUUCUAUCAUUACAAGCUCAUUUUUAAGUUUCUGCAACUUAUGCCAUGUUAUGCAACAGAGAAAGAAACACAAAAUGCAGAAAAAUAAAUCACAAGUUUGCACAAACACCACAAAUUGCAUAAACAAAAUUUAUGCAUAAAAUUCUGCAACACAAUCAAAAUCCGACUUUGGACAUGCAUUUUAAACAAUUCAGCCAAACAACAUAAUCAUAAGUUCGCACAGCUCUAAUUUAGACCCAACAUACGCAAGUUAACAAUUUCAGACACUUGCCUACAUUCCAAGUGAUGUCAUUACUAACAACUUUUUGCAUAUAUUAACAAGGAAAAUAUAAC